UUGGUAUGUAUGUUAAUAAUCUGUACACGUUUCCAGAUUAUAUAAGAUUCAUUUUGAUAAUACACUAUUGGAACAAACUAGGGUAAUAACUGUUCCCCAAAGAUUAUUGUAUAUGUAUCAGGUCUGUGGACUAUUGGUUAUACUGUGGUCUUUCCUCUAUCUUUUGGUCAGAGUGUUAUCUGUUAAUUCAACUUUAUGUUUUAAAUGAGCCUUGGUAUCUUAUAUUUAUUUUAUAAUAUGCUUCCAGUGAAACGUAGAAAAUGUUGAAAAAUGUAUAAAAAUCAAUGGACAACGUCAUGUUUUUUUUUUUUU
RNAcentral lists this long non-coding RNA (312 nucleotides) under Mytilus galloprovincialis (Mediterranean mussel). The record is from RNAcentral. Lineage: Eukaryota; Metazoa; Mollusca; Bivalvia; Mytilida; Mytilidae.